RNAcentral lists this long non-coding RNA (707 nucleotides) under Sorghum bicolor (sorghum). Its description in RNAcentral is "long non-coding RNA (SBIC_LNC000837)". The record is from RNAcentral. Lineage: Eukaryota; Viridiplantae; Streptophyta; Magnoliopsida; Poales; Poaceae.
GGCCUCCACACAGCGCACCACCAGCAACUCGUCCAAAGCCUCCUCGCCAGGCGAUGCCAGCCGGCACCGUGAAUCUGAUGCGUGCGUGGUAGUGGCAGCGGCGUGCCGUCGGGACGACUCCAUCAGGAACCAGGCCGUGGAGGACUGCAUCGAGUUCCUCAAACGGUCCUCGGCCGAGGGCGACGCCGCCAAGCUCUCCACUGCCAGCGCCGCCGACGCCAAACUGACCCAAGUAGGUGGCGAGGACAAAGAGAUCGGGGCGUUCUUCAUCCUUAACGUCGGGGAACGGCGUGAGGUCUCUCCGAGCAGCGGGUGUAGAGAAUCAAUCUAGGACAGGAGAAAGUGGUUCAGUUUGUUCUAGUGUUUUUUUUUUUUUUGUUCCAUCGAUGAUUUGUUGUCAUCUUUUGUGAAUGAUUCGCUUUGAUUUCUUAACAAAUUAAGUGCGUGACAUAGCGAAGUGCACUGCACUACUCAUAGGAGUGGUUUGACCAGCUGCGUUUACCAAAGUGUUUCUACAAAUAUACCACCAUCUUUGAUUUUUAUGAUUUUUGGAGACUUCGCGACUACUAGUCAUCGAACCCACGACCUUCCCCUUGUAUGUACCAUUCUUUAUCACUACCUUUGGUAUUUGUGUAUAUAAGCCAAUUCUUUAUCACUACCCUUUGUUAUUUGUGUCUAUAAGCCAUUUUGGUUCCUCACAUAUAUAU